GAGGAAUAUUGGUCAAUGGGCGCAAGCCUGAACCAGCCAUCCCGCGUGCAGGAUGACGGCCCUAUGGGUUGUAAACUGCUUUUAUACACCAAGAAAAAUCCGAACGUGUUCGGACCCGACGGUAGUGUAUGAAUAAGCAUCGGCUAACUCCGUGCCAGCAGCCGCGGUAAUACGGAGGAUGCAAGCGUUAUCCGGAUUCAUUGGGUUUAAAGGGUGCGUAGACGGCUUUUUAAGUCAGUGGUGAAAUCCUGUCGCUUAACGAUAGAAUUGCCAUUGAUACUGAAAAGCUUGAGUACAAUUGAGGUAAGCGGAAUGUGUAGUGUAGCGGUGAAAUGCUUAGAUAUUACACAGAACACCAAUUGCGAAGGCAGCUUACUAAACUGUCACUGACGCUGAUGCACGAAAGCGUGGGGAGCGAAC
Molecule: ribosomal RNA, 420 nt
Filed under: uncultured bacterium
Lineage: Bacteria
Description: bacterial SSU rRNA
Rfam family: Bacterial small subunit ribosomal RNA
Source: RNAcentral